GGAAUAUUAGAACUCGUUUCUUAAUUUUUAACUAAAAAAAUUAAGAACCAUCUCUUAAAACUCUUAUUUAAGAACCGGUUCUUACAUUUUUUUAGUUAAAAGUUAAGAGGAUUCUCAUAUUCC
This is a non-coding RNA of Brassica napus (rape), 123 nucleotides long. The record is from Rfam. Lineage: Eukaryota; Viridiplantae; Streptophyta; Magnoliopsida; Brassicales; Brassicaceae.